This 319-nucleotide ribosomal RNA is filed under the name Leptospira borgpetersenii serovar Ballum. Its description in RNAcentral is "partial 23S ribosomal RNA". It matches the Rfam family "Bacterial large subunit ribosomal RNA", at positions 590 to 1043 of the family's 2925-position model. The record is from RNAcentral. Lineage: Bacteria; Pseudomonadati; Spirochaetota; Leptospiria; Leptospirales; Leptospiraceae.
GAUUAAACCUUGUACCUUUUGCAUAAUGAUUUAGCCAGAAAAAAAUUAACAAAGAGAACUGAAGCUAAUUACCCCGAAACCAGACGAGCUAUCUAAUAAUAACUUUCUGAGUCAACUCAUCUAUGUGGCAAAAUAGUGAGAAAAUUACUAGAUAGAGGUGAAACGCCUAUCGAGCCUGGUGAUAGCUGGUUGUCCAAAUAAGAAUCUUAGUUCAACUUUAAAUUUACCUAUAUAGUGUAUAAUAAAUUGUAAAUUUAAAAGAUAAUUCUAAGAGGGACAGCUCUUAGAAUAAGGGGUACAGCCCUAAUCAGAGAGUAAU